RNAcentral lists this ribosomal RNA (254 nucleotides) under uncultured bacterium. RNAcentral describes it as "partial 16S ribosomal RNA". It matches the Rfam family "Bacterial small subunit ribosomal RNA", at positions 524 to 776 of the family's 1533-position model. The record is from RNAcentral.
UACGGAGGGGGCUAGCGUUGUUCGGAAUUACUGGGCGUAAAGCGCGCGUAGGCGGACCUGCAAGUCGGGGGUGAAAGCCCGAGGCUCAACCUCGGAACUGCCUUCGAUACUGCGGGUCUCGAGUCCGGGAGAGGUGAGUGGAAUUCCGUAGUGUAGAGGUGAAAUUCGUAGAUAUCAGGAGGAACACCAAUGGCGAAGGCAGCUCGCUGGGACGGUACUGACGCUGAGACGCGAAAGCGUGGGGAGCGAACAGG